CACCUCCCUCAGUCCUAAGCAAGCUGAGGCAGUGGGUCGCCCUAGACUGGAGCAACGUGCAUGAUGGUGGGAAGAGCCAGUGACUUUCUUUCAUGUCCUCUCUGCCCUCGACCUCAGGAGUCACCCAGGUGGGCACUGGCAUCCAGGAUGAAAACUUCCCAGCAUCCCUUGCAGCAAGCAAUGGCCACGUGACCAGGCAGUGGCCAAUGCACAUGAGGCCGGUGCACAGCAACUGCUUUUAGAGGAAGGAAGAUUUGUGUCCUCUUGUUCUCUUCUCCCUUCCCUGCUGGCUGGUAGUAGAUAGGAUGGACACUGUGGGGGAAGCUACACCCUAAGGAAGUCAGAGCAGCAAGAUGGAAGUAGCCUAAGACCCUGAAAAAUGCACAGAGAAGAAUCACCCGACUGGCUUGGACUUUCAUGUGAAAGGAAUGAACCUCUGUCUUAGUAAAGCCACCGAGAUUCAGGGUCCUUGUGAUAUUCAUUGAGGCUGUAACAUAAUUGUUGAAAGAAUAGGAGCGGGAGGGGAGAUGGAGUUGGAGAGGCAGGCAGAGGUCAGAUCACAUCAGGCCUGUAGGCCAAGGCGGAGGAAGAAACAGAAGACAUUGCAUUAAAUAGCAAGAUGGCAGAUGAACAUCAGGAAGGAACAUUAGGAACAUCCACAGCGUUCCAUCCAGGAACCUUCACCAUGGAAACCCUUGUGCUCAUGGGCGUGGUCUCAAGACACAGUCAGCUGUUGGGGAUCAGCGGCCACACUCAUCGUAGCAGAGAGGCAGGACCAACUGGGGGAGGGUCCUUCUGUGACACCUACUGCAUCACCGGGCUGUGUGAAGUGACUCAGCUGCCAGAACUCACACAAUAUAAUUCUACACCAAACCUCACGGGAAAAAUGGAGUCUAUAGACAAGGGAAGCAAGAAGUCAAGUUAGGGAGCUGUCAGCAAACCAGGAGAAGGAUGAUGGGGCUCGACCCAAGAUGACAGCGGCAGAGACCAGGAGUUGCAUUCAGAUUCCAGAUGUUUUGGAAGAAAGAACCAACAGGAGCCUCCGACACAUUGAAUUGAACAUGGGAGAAGAAGGAGAAGCAAUGUUAUACUGUCACCUCUUUCUGACUUUAUUGCGAACCUGGUGAACAUGAUGGCCAAUCAAAGACAUUGGAGUGGAUGAGAUGAAGGUUUCACAAAAGUACUAAAGAAAAAGCUAUUGUCUGUGGGCAGAUGACACUAGUCCAGGGAGGGAAAAAACGGUAGCGAGUAGAUGUUCUUUUCCACCAAAAGGUAUCGUGCCUAUCGCGGAAGCUCCUGGUAGACAUUUGCUGGAAACAGCAUAGCCCAGAGACACUGGAAUAAAUUCGAGAUGUCUUGAAACUAUAAUACCCAAAUCUGACUAUCUGUUCAGUGCUGAAAUCUGACUAUCUGUCAUAUUUGGGUAUUAUAGUGUCAUAAGUGAGUGUCAUAAAAUGAGUUAGGAGUGUUUCUUCUGCCUGUAUUUUCUGAAGGUGCUUACGAUCGAUGUUAUUUUUUAAGGAGGGCUGAGAUUGUCAGCCCAACACUUC
Long non-coding RNA from Pan troglodytes (chimpanzee), 1550 nucleotides. NCBI's taxonomy places the organism in Eukaryota, Metazoa, Chordata, Mammalia, Primates, Hominidae. The record is from Ensembl.